GACAUGUGAUCGCCUUCCUCUUUUUCUUCAGCAGUCUAAGAAGAAACAUCAUGGGUCAGGUGUCAAACUCCUCCUGGAGUCUGGGUGGCUGUCUGCCAGCCUCAUGUCCUGGAGUUAAAAGCUGAGAGAACUGACCAGAAUCCAGAUCAGAGCCCAGGGGCAUUGGAGUUCUUGUAAUGUUCUUCUGAUAGUUCAUUUCUGGACCCAUUGUCCUCUCCAUGAUGUUCUUCAUCUCCCUCACCCCUGGACGUCAACAAAGCAGUCCACCUUCACAUCAGUUUGACUCAGACUUAGGUGAGUCACACCUUUGAUCAAUGCAGACGUGGCUGUUUGUCAUGAUGUGAAGAAGCACUGCUUAAACAGCAUGAGCCCAGUUCAACAGAGCAGUAUCCUAUCCAUCUGCUCCCCUCAGUCAGAGCGGCAGGAAAUAACAGCAGAGCCUCUGUGGAAAAGAACCUCAAGUGUGUAGAUGUAAAACAGGUUAAAGGUGCUGAGGAACGGGGAACAAACAGCAGGUAUGACUUUGGCCAUCCGCCGAAGGAGCCCAGAGCCCUGUCUGCAGCUGUAAACCUCAUUUUCUGUCAUUUCCCUCAGAACAAAAAGCAGCAAUGCUCUGCCACUGACUGUUGUGAUCAGAAGAAGAAAGCGCCGCAGCUGGCCAUGGUGUUACAUGACUAUAGCCACUAGAUCUGUCAGUACCGGUACAGGACCCGACUCCUGAAUUGGGUUUUAUUCCUCAACAAAUUCUAUUUGAAGAGUGUAGCAGUGUGUGAAUCUAGUUGGGGCAGGAGGCUGUGGAAUUAUGAUUCCUAUUAAGCUUUCCAAAGACACAGUAAAUGAACUAAAUAUCCUGUUACCAUUAAGACAUCUGCAUAAUGUUCAGCGCACCAACAUAUGUUAUUGCUCUGUAAAUAUCUUCCUGAUACACAAUCACUGCCUCGAUGUGUUGACCCGAACGUCUUCAUUUCUUUGUUUCCAGUCCUUACAAAGCUGAUGAUGCCCUGUGCACUCACCUGGACACAGAGCACUGAUAUUCCCCAGUUCCUACUCAAAGUAAAUUAAUACCUUGACAAUUCUGGAAGCAAACACAAACAUAAAACACAGGCCAUACUGUUGUUUUUGUUUAAUGUCUUCUUCUUGAACAUGAUGAUUUUACACAUUUUCAGAUUUCCCAUUUCCUUUCAAAUUAAAGGGACUUUCUCUAAUAUGUUUAAUGUAUUUCCUGGUAGCGUCUUAUGAGCUUUAUAUUUGAUAUUCCACUGUGUCAUAAAAUCUCAGUGCCUGUAACAUAACAAACAUAAGGUACGGGACAUGAAGCCAUGUUAAUAAGUGCUGCAGCUCACCUCUGUAGAAUGAAAAUGUGAUUAGUGAGAGUUUUACAUGCAUUUCCCCAAACCUUGACAUAACAGACCAUGUGUGGAACAGUAACAGUGCAUUUCUGUGUAGCUGGUCUGACGCUUUGUGCAAAAGUGCCACUGACUUCAUAUCAUUUACAUGUGGUUUCCAGCACAGCCUUUGAUCGAUGAUGACCCAAAAAUGUAUUUUCAUGUACUCUCUGGAUUUCAAAGCUACUUCUGUUUGUGCACCCGGACCACCUUUCUGGGCAGUACAGGACUGAUCUGCCAUCCAGUCAAUAACUGCA
Monopterus albus (swamp eel) is the source of this 1642-nucleotide long non-coding RNA. RefSeq lists it as uncharacterized. The transcript is spliced from 3 exons. The record is from RefSeq and is a predicted model, not a curated record. NCBI's taxonomy places the organism in Eukaryota, Metazoa, Chordata, Actinopteri, Synbranchiformes, Synbranchidae.